RNAcentral lists this transfer RNA (64 nucleotides) under Furcilarnaca wufengensis. RNAcentral describes it as "tRNA-Thr". It matches the Rfam family "tRNA". From Rfam's summary of the family: Transfer RNA (tRNA) molecules are approximately 80 nucleotides in length. Their secondary structure includes four short double-helical elements and three loops (D, anti-codon, and T loops). The record is from RNAcentral. Lineage: Eukaryota; Metazoa; Arthropoda; Insecta; Orthoptera; Gryllacrididae.
GUUUUAAUAGUUUAACCAAAAACAUUGGUCUUGUAAACCAAAAUUAAGGAUUUCUUUUAAAACU